Molecule: ribosomal RNA, 355 nt
Filed under: uncultured soil bacterium
Lineage: Bacteria
Description: bacterial SSU rRNA
Rfam family: Bacterial small subunit ribosomal RNA
Source: RNAcentral
AGAGUGAACGCUGGCGGCAGGCCUAACACAUGCAAGUCGAACGGCAGCGGGUCGUAGCAAUACGAUGCCGGCGAGUGGCCGACGGGUGAGGAAUACAUCGGAAUCUACCUUGUCGUGGGGGAUAACGUAGGGAAACUUACGCUAAUACCGCAUACGAACUAUGGUUGAAAGCGGCGGACCGCAAGGCGUCGCGCGAUUGGAUGAGCCGAUGUCCGAUUAGCUAGUGCGGGUAAAGCCACAAGGCGACGAUCGGUAGCUGGUCUGAGAGGAUGAUCAGCCACACUGGAACUGAGACACGGUCCAGGCUCUACGGGAGCAGCAGUGGGGAAUAUUGGACAAUGGGCGCAAGCCUGAU